Long non-coding RNA from Frieseomelitta varia, 451 nucleotides. RefSeq lists it as uncharacterized. The transcript is spliced from 3 exons. Lineage: Eukaryota; Metazoa; Arthropoda; Insecta; Hymenoptera; Apidae. The record is from RefSeq and is a predicted model, not a curated record.
GCGAUGAAGAAGAAGAUGAUGCGUUGCUAUCGUUCGAUCCUUCGCUAUUUGCAAAUCAUCUUAUUGGUUACAAUGUAAUAUUUCUUACAACGAUUUAUUAUAUUCAACAUCUAUUUGUAUAAAAUUUGUUGCUUGUUUCGCAUCAAUUUCAUGCUUAUAUAAAAUUCUGACACGUUUCGUUGUCAUGAUUAGAAAGUAUACAUAUAUUCCCGCCACACAACAGGUUAUCAUAAUAUGAUGUGCAAAGCACACGUCGUGUCACUCUUACCAAGAACCAAUCUAGCUACUUCCGAAGACUUCGAAACGAUACCAUAAUAUGAAUCCUAAAGAUCUUGAAUGGAAGUAACUUCUUGGUCAAAACAAUUUUGCCAACAUCAAAACUGUUUAUACUUUUCUCCAUGCCUUAGUGAUUCUCAUGUUUAAUAAAUGAUUUGUUUGAUAUCGGAAUAGG